GCCCGGGUGGCGGAAUAGGCAGACGCACGGGACUUAAAAUCCCGCGAUGGAUAACAUCGUACCGGUUCGACCCCGGUCUCGGGCACCA
This 88-nucleotide transfer RNA is filed under the name Syntrophomonadaceae bacterium. RNAcentral describes it as "tRNA-Leu". It matches the Rfam family "tRNA". From Rfam's summary of the family: Transfer RNA (tRNA) molecules are approximately 80 nucleotides in length. Their secondary structure includes four short double-helical elements and three loops (D, anti-codon, and T loops). The record is from RNAcentral. Lineage: Bacteria; Bacillati; Bacillota; Clostridia; Eubacteriales; Syntrophomonadaceae.